UCCACAGCCAGCUCUCCACACGACUC
Molecule: non-coding RNA, 26 nt
Filed under: Rattus norvegicus (Norway rat)
Lineage: Eukaryota; Metazoa; Chordata; Mammalia; Rodentia; Muridae
Source: RNAcentral